CUUGAGCGAGCCCAGCCACAGCGGGCGAUCCGCCGAUCGCGAGCGACCGUAGGCGGCGAGCAACGCGUUCACCUC
Molecule: antisense RNA, 75 nt
Filed under: Nocardia vulneris
Lineage: Bacteria; Bacillati; Actinomycetota; Actinomycetes; Mycobacteriales; Nocardiaceae
Description: Aspks sRNA
Rfam family: ASpks TB sRNA
Source: RNAcentral